Molecule: ribosomal RNA, 2648 nt
Filed under: Escherichia coli
Lineage: Bacteria; Pseudomonadati; Pseudomonadota; Gammaproteobacteria; Enterobacterales; Enterobacteriaceae
Description: 23S ribosomal RNA
Rfam family: Bacterial large subunit ribosomal RNA
Source: RNAcentral
GGGUUGUGAGGUUAAGCGACUAAGCGUACACGGUGGAUGCCCUGGCAGUCAGAGGCGAUGAAGGACGUGCUAAUCUGCGAUAAGCGUCGGUGAGGUGAUAUGAACCGUUAUAACCGGCGAUUUCCGAAUGGGGAAACCCAGUGUGUUUCGACACACUAUCAUUAACUGAAUCCAUAGGUUAAUGAGGCGAACCGGGGGAACUGAAACAUCUAAGUACCCCGAGGAAAAGAAAUCAACCGAGAUUCCCCCAGUAGCGGCGAGCGAACGGGGAGGAGCCCAGAGCCUGAAUCAGUGUGUGUGUUAGUGGAAGCGUCUGGAAAGGCGCGCGAUACAGGGUGACAGCCCCGUACACAAAAAUGCACAUAUUGUGAGCUCGAUGAGUAGGGCGGGACACGUGGUAUCCUGUCUGAAUAUGGGGGGACCAUCCUCCAAGGCUAAAUACUCCUGACUGACCGAUAGUGAACCAGUACCGUGAGGGAAAGGCGAAAAGAACCCCGGCGAGGGGAGUGAAAAAGAACCUGAAACCGUGUACGUACAAGCAGUGGGAGCCUCUUAAUGGGGUGACUGCGUACCUUUUGUAUAAUGGGUCAGCGACUUAUAUUCUGUAGCAAGGUUAACCGAAUAGGGGAGCCGAAGGGAAACCGAGUCUUAACUGGGCGUUAAGUUGCAGGGUAUAGACCCGAAACCCGGUGAUCUAGCCAUGGGCAGGUUGAAGGUUGGGUAACACUAACUGGAGGACCGAACCGACUAAUGUUGAAAAAUUAGCGGAUGACUUGUGGCUGGGGGUGAAAGGCCAAUCAAACCGGGAGAUAGCUGGUUCUCCCCGAAAGCUAUUUAGGUAGCGCCUCGUGAAUUCAUCUCCGGGGGUAGAGCACUGUUUCGGCAAGGGGGUCAUCCCGACUUACCAACCCGAUGCAAACUGCGAAUACCGGAGAAUGUUAUCACGGGAGACACACGGCGGGUGCUAACGUCCGUCGUGAAGAGGGAAACAACCCAGACCGCCAGCUAAGGUCCCAAAGUCAUGGUUAAGUGGGAAACGAUGUGGGAAGGCCCAGACAGCCAGGAUGUUGGCUUAGAAGCAGCCAUCAUUUAAAGAAAGCGUAAUAGCUCACUGGUCGAGUCGGCCUGCGCGGAAGAUGUAACGGGGCUAAACCAUGCACCGAAGCUGCGGCAGCGACGCUNNNNNNNNNNNNNNNNNNNNNNNNNNNNNNNNNNNNNNNNNNNNNNNNNNNNNNNNNNNNNNNNNNNNNNNNNNNNNNNNNNNNNNNNNNNNNNNNAACAAAUGCCCUGCUUCCAGGAAAAGCCUCUAAGCAUCAGGUAACAUCAAAUCGUACCCCAAACCGACACAGGUGGUCAGGUAGAGAAUACCAAGGCGCUUGAGAGAACUCGGGUGAAGGAACUAGGCAAAAUGGUGCCGUAACUUCGGGAGAAGGCACGCUGAUAUGUAGGUGAAGCGACUUGCUCGUGGAGCUGAAAUCAGUCGAAGAUACCAGCUGGCUGCAACUGUUUAUUAAAAACACAGCACUGUGCAAACACGAAAGUGGACGUAUACGGUGUGACGCCUGCCCGGUGCCGGAAGGUUAAUUGAUGGGGUUAGCGGUAACGCGAAGCUCUUGAUCGAAGCCCCGGUAAACGGCGGCCGUAACUAUAACGGUCCUAAGGUAGCGAAAUUCCUUGUCGGGUAAGUUCCGACCUGCACGAAUGGCGUAAUGAUGGCCAGGCUGUCUCCACCCGAGACUCAGUGAAAUUGAACUCGCUGUGAAGAUGCAGUGUACCCGCGGCAAGACGGAAAGACCCCGUGAACCUUUACUAUAGCUUGACACUGAACAUUGAGCCUUGAUGUGUAGGAUAGGUGGGAGGCUUUGAAGUGUGGACGCCAGUCUGCAUGGAGCCGACCUUGAAAUACCACCCUUUAAUGUUUGAUGUUCUAACGUUGGCCCGUAAUCCGGGUUGCGGACAGUGUCUGGUGGGUAGUUUGACUGGGGCGGUCUCCUCCUAAAGAGUAACGGAGGAGCACGAAGGUUGGCUAAUCCUGGUCGGACAUCAGGAGGUUAGUGCAAUGGCAUAAGCCAGCUUGACUGCGAGCGUGACGGCGCGAGCAGGUGCGAAAGCAGGUCAUAGUGAUCCGGUGGUUCUGAAUGGAAGGGCCAUCGCUCAACGGAUAAAAGGUACUCCGGGGAUAACAGGCUGAUACCGCCCAAGAGUUCAUAUCGACGGCGGUGUUUGGCACCUCGAUGUCGGCUCAUCACAUCCUGGGGCUGAAGUAGGUCCCAAGGGUAUGGCUGUUCGCCAUUUAAAGUGGUACGCGAGCUGGGUUUAGAACGUCGUGAGACAGUUCGGUCCCUAUCUGCCGUGGGCGCUGGAGAACUGAGGGGGGCUGCUCCUAGUACGAGAGGACCGGAGUGGACGCAUCACUGGUGUUCGGGUUGUCAUGCCAAUGGCACUGCCCGGUAGCUAAAUGCGGAAGAGAUAAGUGCUGAAAGCAUCUAAGCACGAAACUUGCCCCGAGAUGAGUUCUCCCUGAGACUUAGAGUCUCCUGAAGGAACGUUGAAGACGACGACGUUGAUAGGCCGGGUGUGUAAGCGCAGCGAUGCGUUGAGCUAACCGGUACUAAUGAACCGUGAGGCUUAACCUUACAACGCCGAAG